This 642-nucleotide long non-coding RNA is filed under the name Lathyrus oleraceus (garden pea). RNAcentral's name for it is "Pisum sativum (pea) long non-coding RNA (PSAT_LNC017985)". Lineage: Eukaryota; Viridiplantae; Streptophyta; Magnoliopsida; Fabales; Fabaceae. The record is from RNAcentral.
AAAAAGAAUCCUAUGGAAAAGAAAAAGAACAAAAGGAAGGUCGAAAGAGUUGACCAUCAUCUUCUUGCUCAUACUCCAUCAAUAUCUCUAACUCUACCAUAUUAAAGUUUUGUCUUCUUCAAACAUACCUCAAACCAUUACAAACAUUGAAGCUUGCUUCUUUGUCCCAUAACCAACUUCAACUCACCUCAUCAUUUAACGGUCGAGAUCUAAGAAUCAGUUCAUCACCGUUACAACUUUGAUCUCUCUUUUAGAGCCAACAUGAGCAUUUGAAUUUGUGUCUACGAUCAAGGAUUUAGAUGGGUCGGGCAGCCUGUUUCAAAGUUGAGAAAUAAAAGAAAAAGUUGCAUCAAAGAGCAAUAACAAAACUGUUUCGACUUAGAUUUCACUAAUUAUUCAACCAGCAACAACAAAGCUUCAACCCCAUUGUUGACAAUGUAAUGCCGGUAACUUUCUUAUCGUUUCUCUUCGACUUCGUUUACAUUAUUUUGCUCUGAUAUUGUUUUCAGUUUGGAUUCAAUUAUAUUGAUUGCUUGUUGUGUUGCUAUGGAAAUAGUUUCGAUUUAAUUAUGUGUCGUUGGAUUUUCGGAUAUUUAAAGUUAAUGUUGUAAGCAUACGUGCGUCAUAUCGACUUUUUUUUNN